AAGGUAGCAUAAUAAUUAGGUUUUUAAUUGAAAUCUAGAAUGAAUGAUUGGACGAGAUACAAGCUGUUUUAUAAUAAUUAAUUAAAAUUUAAUUUUUUAGUCAAAAAGCUAAAAUUUUAUUAAAAGACGAGAAGACCCUAUAAAUCUUUAUAAUAAAUUUAUUUUAAUAAAUUAUUUUAUUUAAAUUAAUAAUUUUAAUAUUAAAUUAUUUUAUUGGGGUGAUACAAAAAUUUAAUUAACUUUUUUAUUGAAAUUUCUUAAAUUAAAGAUUUAUAAAAAUAUGAUCUAUUAUUAAUAAUUCAGAGAAUAAGAUACUUUAGGGAUAACAGCGUAAUUUUAAUUUUAAGUUCUUAUUAAAAUUAAAGAUUGCGACCUCGAUGUUGGAUUAAAAUUUAAUUUAAAUGCAAAGGUUUAAAAAUUAAGUCUGUUCGACUUUUGAAAUUUUACAUGAUCUGAGUUCAAACCGGUGUAAGCCAGGUUG
Molecule: ribosomal RNA, 481 nt
Filed under: Drusus biguttatus
Lineage: Eukaryota; Metazoa; Arthropoda; Insecta; Trichoptera; Limnephilidae
Description: partial large subunit ribosomal RNA
Rfam family: Archaeal large subunit ribosomal RNA (bases 322-480)
Source: RNAcentral